This 372-nucleotide ribosomal RNA is filed under the name uncultured prokaryote. Its description in RNAcentral is "bacterial SSU rRNA". It matches the Rfam family "Bacterial small subunit ribosomal RNA", at positions 524 to 896 of the family's 1533-position model. The record is from RNAcentral.
UACGUAGGGUGCGAGCGUUAAUCGGAAUUACUGGGCGUAAAGCGUGCGCAGGCGGUUAUAUAAGACAGAUGUGAAAUCCCCGGGCUCAACCUGGGACCUGCAUUUGGGACUGUAUAGAGAGAGUACGGUAGAGGGGGAUGGAAUUCCGCGUGUAGCAGUGAAAUGCGUAGAUAUGCGGAGGAACACCGAUGGCGAAGGCAAUCCCCUGGACCUGUACUGACGCUCAUGCACGAAAGCGUGGGGAGCAAACAGGAUUAGAUACCCUGGUAGUCCACGCCCUAAACGAUGUCAACUGGUUGUUGGGUCUUCACUGACUCAGUAACGAAGCUAACGCGUGAAGUUGACCGCCUGGGGAGUACGGCCGCAAGGUUG